AACGCACAUUGCGCCCCCUGGCAUUCCGGGGGGCACACCUGUCCGAGCGCCGUCGCAACACUGAGGCUCAGCCUUGCGCUGGCGGACCAGUCUGACGCAAAAGACUGGCCGCCGAAACCCCGACGGCGCCGCCCUCCCCGGCCGACAGCUCCUGCGCAAACAGCAGAACCGAGCGCCCGGCGGGACGGAGGGACGGCCGCCUGUGAAUCGACAAGCUUGGCCUCGGAUCAGGUGGGGAUACCCGCUGAACUUAA
Molecule: unclassified non-coding RNA, 254 nt
Filed under: uncultured Ascomycota
Lineage: Eukaryota; Fungi; Ascomycota
Description: sequence contains 5.8S rRNA gene, ITS2, 28S rRNA gene
Source: RNAcentral